Phacochoerus africanus (Common warthog) is the source of this 1588-nucleotide RNA transcript. It is a transcript of the gene named ATP synthase subunit a-like, with no coding region annotated. The transcript has a single exon. NCBI's taxonomy places the organism in Eukaryota, Metazoa, Chordata, Mammalia, Artiodactyla, Suidae. The record is from RefSeq and is a predicted model, not a curated record.
UACAUCAAUAACUAUAACACUAUUUAUUCUAUUCCAACUAAAAAUCUCAAACUAUUCAUAUCCAUUAAAUCCAGAACUAACAGAAAUAAAAACCCAAAAACACGACACCCCCUGAGAAACAAAAUGAACGAAAAUCUAUUUGCCUCUUUCAUUACCCCUACGAUAAUAGGACUACCUAUCGUUACCUUAAUUAUUAUAUUCCCUAGCCUAUUAUUCCCAACACCCAAACGACUUAUUAAUAACCGUAUAAUCUCCAUUCAACAAUGAUUGACUCAACUAACAUCCAAACAAAUAAUAGCCAUCCAUAAUCAAAAAGGCCAAACCUGAUCACUAAUACUCAUAUCUCUAAUCAUAUUUAUCAGCUCAACAAAUAUUCUAGGUCUAUUACCACACUCCUUUACGCCCACUACACAACUAUCAAUAAACCUGGGCAUAGCAAUCCCCCUAUGAGCAGCAACUGUAUUCACAGGAUUCCGUCAUAAAACCAAGGCAUCACUAGCCCACUUCCUACCACAAGGAACACCCAUUCCACUAAUCCCUAUGCUUGUAAUCAUCGAAACCAUUAGCCUAUUUAUUCAACCAGUAGCCCUAGCCGUACGACUAACGGCCAAUAUCACAGCAGGACAUCUCCUAAUUCAUCUAAUUGGAGGAGCUACUUUAGCACCACUCAACAGCAGCACCAUAACAGCCUUCGUCACAUUCAUUAUUCUAAUUAUACUAACCAUUCUUGAAUUCGCAGUAGCUCUAAUUCAAGCCUAUGUAUUCACACUACUAGUAAGCUUAUAUUUACACGAUAAUACAUAAUGACCCACCAAACACACGCAUAUCACAUAGUAAACCCAAGCCCAUGACCACUUACUGGGGCCUUAUCAGCUUUACUGAUAACAUCCGGCCUAGCCAUAUGGUUCCAUUUUAAUUCCAUCCUCCUACUGUCCCUAGGACUACUAACCAACACCCUAACAAUAUAUCAAUGAUGACGAGAUAUUAUUCGAGAAAGCACUUUCCAAGGCCACCAUACGUCAGUUGUCCAAAAAGGCUUACGAUAUGGUAUAAUCCUAUUCAUCAUUUCUGAAGUCCUAUUCUUCACUGGAUUCUUCUGAGCUUUUUAUCAUUCAAGCUUAGCACCAACACCUGAACUAGGAGGUUGCUGACCACCAACAGGAAUUCACCCACUAAACCCCCUAGAAGUACCACUACUAAACACUUCAGUUCUCCUCGCCUCAGGGGUCUCCAUUACUUGAGCCCAUCACAGCCUAAUAGAAGGAGACCGAAAACACAUACUUCAAGCAUUGGGCAUCACCAUCGCACUAGGCCUAUACUUUACCCUCCUCCAAGCCUCAGAAUACUACGAAGCACCAUUUACAAUCUCUGACGGAGUGUACGGAUCCACCUUUUUCGUAGCUACAGGAUUUCACGGAUUACACGUAAUUAUUGGAUCCACAUUUCUAGCAGUAUGCUUCCUACGACAAUUAAAAUUCCACUUCACAUCCAACCACCACUUUGGCUUCGAAGCCGCAGCCUGAUACUGACACUUUGUAGACGUAGUUUGACUAUUCCUUUACGUAUCAAUCUAUUGAUGAGGGUCCUA